Xenopus tropicalis (tropical clawed frog) is the source of this 166-nucleotide small nucleolar RNA. Lineage: Eukaryota; Metazoa; Chordata; Amphibia; Anura; Pipidae. The record is from Ensembl.
UUGCCCUGUGAUUAGAAAUUGACAACACGAGGACAAAUACUGGAGACUUGCACUCCUUUUGCUCUUCAACUCUUCUUUCUCUCCCAAACCCCUCUGUCCCAAACCCUUACUCUUCCUGUGGGUCUCCGGUGUCCAGUGAGAGUCUGAUUAUGAGAUAUGAGGGCCU